GUCCACGCCGUAAACGAUGGGCACUAGAUCCUUGGGGGAGCGACCCCUUGAGGGUCGGCGCUAACGCAUUAAGUGCCCCGCCUGGGGAGUACGGCCGCAAGGCUGAAACUCAAAGGAAUUGACGGGGGCCCGCACAAGCGGUGGAGCAUGUGGUUUAAUUCGACGCAACGCGAAGAACCUUACCUGGGCUUGACAUGCACGGGACGGUCUGGGGAAACCUGGGACUCUCUUCGGAGCCCGUGCACAGGUGCUGCAUGGCUGUCGU
This 265-nucleotide ribosomal RNA is filed under the name uncultured bacterium. RNAcentral describes it as "partial 16S ribosomal RNA". It matches the Rfam family "Bacterial small subunit ribosomal RNA", at positions 793 to 1055 of the family's 1533-position model. The record is from RNAcentral.